This is a non-coding RNA of Poecilia reticulata (guppy), 580 nucleotides long. NCBI's taxonomy places the organism in Eukaryota, Metazoa, Chordata, Actinopteri, Cyprinodontiformes, Poeciliidae. The record is from RefSeq and is a predicted model, not a curated record.
AUUUGACUGAAGUGUGAAGAGGGGUGUGUAUAGGAGACAUGCUGAGAAUUCCAAAUAGAGGAACCAGCGGCAUGAUGUCACACACCUGUUUGGCUGGAGGCUGUGGCCUGGCGACGCUCGAAGCCGUGGGUGUCGCGUUGGCACCCCUCUUUUCCCCCUUGUCGCUGCCUGCUACGCCCCGUGGAUGUGUCAAAAUGGCAGAUGAUGGUUGGGGUGUGUGCAGCUGCUUGGGAAGAGGAGUGCCAAGGGCGCUCAUUUCCUGCGGAAACUCUUGGAAGGCAAAAGCAACAUCCUGAGUUGGUGAGGAGACAGGAGAGGUGCUGACAUGCCGACAGGCAGGGGAUCCUGGGAAAAGCCACAGACAGGAAGAGCCUGACUGACUUUGACCCCCGGGGUCAAGGCUGGGGGCUCGGCAACUGAAAGAUGUUUCCAAGCCACGCUCAGACUAUCGCGGCGUUUUACAGGAAAUAGCUCCAAAAUUACUGUAUGCUGUUAAAAUGUGGGAGAUCUUUUAUUGCUCGCUCUUUUGUUUUUGUUCUUUGUGACAUAAAAUGUGUUUUGGCCCUGAGCUAUAUUUGAC